Molecule: ribosomal RNA, 1472 nt
Filed under: Klebsiella pneumoniae CHS 39
Lineage: Bacteria; Pseudomonadati; Pseudomonadota; Gammaproteobacteria; Enterobacterales; Enterobacteriaceae
Description: bacterial SSU rRNA
Rfam family: Bacterial small subunit ribosomal RNA
Source: RNAcentral
AGAGUUUGAUCAUGGCUCAGAUUGAACGCUGGCGGCAGGCCUAACACAUGCAAGUCGAGCGGUAGCACAGAGAGCUUGCUCUCGGGUGACGAGCGGCGGACGGGUGAGUAAUGUCUGGGAAACUGCCUGAUGGAGGGGGAUAACUACUGGAAACGGUAGCUAAUACCGCAUAACGUCGCAAGACCAAAGUGGGGGACCUUCGGGCCUCAUGCCAUCAGAUGUGCCCAGAUGGGAUUAGCUAGUAGGUGGGGUAACGGCUCACCUAGGCGACGAUCCCUAGCUGGUCUGAGAGGAUGACCAGCCACACUGGAACUGAGACACGGUCCAGACUCCUACGGGAGGCAGCAGUGGGGAAUAUUGCACAAUGGGCGCAAGCCUGAUGCAGCCAUGCCGCGUGUGUGAAGAAGGCCUUCGGGUUGUAAAGCACUUUCAGCGGGGAGGAAGGCGAUAAGGUUAAUAACCUUGUCGAUUGACGUUACCCGCAGAAGAAGCACCGGCUAACUCCGUGCCAGCAGCCGCGGUAAUACGGAGGGUGCAAGCGUUAAUCGGAAUUACUGGGCGUAAAGCGCACGCAGGCGGUCUGUCAAGUCGGAUGUGAAAUCCCCGGGCUCAACCUGGGAACUGCAUUCGAAACUGGCAGGCUAGAGUCUUGUAGAGGGGGGUAGAAUUCUAGGUGUAGCGGUGAAAUGCGUAGAGAUCUGGAGGAAUACCGGUGGCGAAGGCGGCCCCCUGGACAAAGACUGACGCUCAGGUGCGAAAGCGUGGGGAGCAAACAGGAUUAGAUACCCUGGUAGUCCACGCCGUAAACGAUGUCGAUUUGGAGGUUGUGCCCUUGAGGCGUGGCUUCCGGAGCUAACGCGUUAAAUCGACCGCCUGGGGAGUACGGCCGCAAGGUUAAAACUCAAAUGAAUUGACGGGGGCCCGCACAAGCGGUGGAGCAUGUGGUUUAAUUCGAUGCAACGCGAAGAACCUUACCUGGUCUUGACAUCCACAGAACUUUCCAGAGAUGGAUUGGUGCCUUCGGGAACUGUGAGACAGGUGCUGCAUGGCUGUCGUCAGCUCGUGUUGUGAAAUGUUGGGUUAAGUCCCGCAACGAGCGCAACCCUUAUCCUUUGUUGCCAGCGGUCCGGCCGGGAACUCAAAGGAGACUGCCAGUGAUAAACUGGAGGAAGGUGGGGAUGACGUCAAGUCAUCAUGGCCCUUACGACCAGGGCUACACACGUGCUACAAUGGCAUAUACAAAGAGAAGCGACCUCGCGAGAGCAAGCGGACCUCAUAAAGUAUGUCGUAGUCCGGAUUGGAGUCUGCAACUCGACUCCAUGAAGUCGGAAUCGCUAGUAAUCGUAGAUCAGAAUGCUACGGUGAAUACGUUCCCGGGCCUUGUACACACCGCCCGUCACACCAUGGGAGUGGGUUGCAAAAGAAGUAGGUAGCUUAACCUUCGGGAGGGCGCUUACCACUUUGUGAUUCAU